RNAcentral lists this long non-coding RNA (7901 nucleotides) under Haliotis rubra (blacklip abalone). RNAcentral describes it as "uncharacterized LOC124261787". The record is from RNAcentral. Lineage: Eukaryota; Metazoa; Mollusca; Gastropoda; Lepetellida; Haliotidae.
GAAUAUUGCUAAAAUCGGCGUAAAACCAAACUCAGUCAGUCAGUCAUUUUCAUACAUAGCCUCAGAACAGCUGGUAUAGUCUUGUUUUGUACUAGUGGCAACCAUUUGCAGUACAGAGUCAGUGGCGGAUCCAGGAUGUGGGAGAAGGGGGUGCACAUAGAUUAUGAAGUUCAAAGGUUAGGGUUCACACACCCGCAACCCCCUCUAGAUAGCUCUGGAUCUGAGUGUUGCCUCCCUUUGGCUCUCUCUGGAACCUGUGUUGGUUGGCUAGUAUUGUGAAUUAUGUUUAGUGGGUUUCAUCAAAACGCUAUAUGUAUGAAUACGACAGCAACACAUAGGUCUUUCCUCCAUGUGAAGUUGAAAUAUAUGUUGGGGGUCUCAUGGUCUCAUCGCUAGUCACACCAUAGACCCGCAUUCAAUUCCCCACAUGGGUACAAUAUGUGAAGUCCAAUUCUGGUGUCCCCUGCCAUGUUUCGCCUGGAAUUUUAUUAAAACUGGCGUAAAUCUAUACUCACUCACUCAAUGUCCUUAGGAAUUCAGCAUAAGCAAGACUACUCUCACUUCUAUAGGUUCGUAUUGUCACAUGAUAUCAGGAUAAUUCUAUCAAAUCAUGGCGCAAAGUAUCACCAUUGUGUAUCGUUCCAUCCCAUGUCAUCACCCCAUAUGUUAUGGACUCUGGAAUUACUAGAUAUUUUGUCAAGGAUUUUGUAUUUCCAUGCAUUCACAAAACAUAUCUCAAUCAAAAGAUCACUCUUUCAUCGACCCUUUGAACAUUGGACCAAAGUAAGCUAGCAUCAAAUUGUUGAUAAUCAUAUAUACACAAGCUUUGUGGUUGUAGUCAUGUCAUGUUGAAUGUUAAAUAAUUUUGAUCUCCUUGAAAAUUCAUUCAUGACUGAUACCAAGAAAUGGUUGUUAACAAUCUUCUUGUCCUGAGACAGAUUUGGAUAUGUACAGAUCUGUUUCAACAAUUCUUCAUAUGAUAUGUAAUCCUAACGAUGACAGUUUGAGAAGAAAUUCAACAGAAAGGAAUUGACUUAAUGUUGUAUUUAUUCCUUGCAAUAGAAAGUCAAGAAUAUUCAUUGGCAUAUGAAAUUUUAGUUUUGUAUGUAGACAACCGAAUCACGGCCUGUGAAAGUUUUGAUAGUACAGUCACCAUUCCAAGCAAUUUACAUAAUGAUCUCCCGAUUUUUAUUUCACAUACAUCAACAUCAGUUUCAGUUUUGUUUUGAUCAUGAAACAACAUUUGUGUGCAUCAGGGGUUAAUUUCUUGAAGCUGUGGUAGUGCAAAGACGAUUAAUACUAUGUUAUAACAUAGACUCCAACCGUCAUACAGUUAUGAUCGUUUCUUGAAAUAGGUCCCUGGAUCUCUCAAUGCAUCACCUUGACUUCCCCUUUCAAGGUCAUAUUCCCUCUGUUAGAAUCCCAGUAUUGCAUAGAUCGAUGCUCAUUCUGUUGAUCAUUGAAUUAUAGAGUCCAGGUUCGAUUAUUUACAGACUGCCCCAAUAUUGCUGAGUGUGGCAUUAAACAACAAACAAAUAGACUCUCAGUGAGUAAUUCUUUUUCAGAAGUUUUCUAAAUAGUAGUUGAUCCAAUAAUACGCCUUUGAAGAAAAUCUUGGUCUUAAGUAUUUGACCCUUACUAAGAGCUGAUUAUUGAGAAUUUUGGAUCGCUGAAUUGUGACAUGUUUUAGGUAGUUUCUGCUUGAAAUACAAAGGUACAAUUACAUCCUCUGUAAUGGCCUUAUUUGGGUGACCUGGGUCCAAUCCGCAAAGCGUUAGGACCUAUCGUAACUCUAUAGUUUACCAUAGGCUUAUGAAUGUCAUAGCGCUACAAAUACUUUGUGGAUCGGGACCCAGAUGGAUCCACAGCCUUGCUACUCAAUGUUUAAGUUUAAGUUUUACGAAUAACACAUCAUUAAAAACAUUUGUGAUUUUUUCUAUAUGGCUAAAAUCUUUGUCAAUACUCAGUUUAUUUGAGGGAAAAAUACAUUUAAAUAUCUGAGAAAAUGUAAGACUAAGCAUUCCGAUUAAUGUGCGAUUUUUGCACGACCCAAUUAAAACAUCAUCAAUUUCAUACUCUAUUAUUUAUAAUGAAUAUUACUGAAUCAGACUCCAUCACUUUCCUGAAUAUAGUAAUGCCUGGUAUAUUGAUAUUAAUGUGAUCUUACAUUACUUCAUUUAGCAAGUUACAAUGAACUGUUAGUUUCUAAUUAUGCAACAUUAGCUUCAUAUUUGUUUACUUUGUUAUGAGGUUUAAAACAUUAUGCAGUCAAGCUCAAGUCUUUUCACUGAUAGACACUUAAUUAUGCAGUCUUGCUUGUAAAUAACUGCAGUUCUGUGAAUUAAAGUUGCUUCAAAUCUUUAUGCAAAACAGGAAAUUUAAAUUCCAUUUCAUUAGUGAGUGUUAUUUAAGCAAUAUGUUUACUGUACAAAUUAUCAACAUCUGUUAAAGCCUUAUUAUUUUCUCAUUGAUGAAGUCUUAAAAUUUAAAUCUUGUUGAGUGUCUCUAGUGUUUGGAAAAGUAUGUUAUGGAUUAUUAUUUUUUUCAGUAAUAUAUAUAUCAUGUUUUUAUUUUCAUUUUUUCUUCAUGCCAAGUCAGUUGAAUAGUGAUAGUGAUUAAAAGCAGUUUUUUUUCAGAUUUAAUUACCUUUACUUUGACUUUAAAAUUAAAUGAAUAAAUUGUUAGUUUCAUUUGUUUAAGAUGCUUUAAAAGCCAUGUUAGAAGAGACAAAUCCCAGUCAAGGAAGGUUCAAUAAUGGUGAUUUAACAAUAUCAUUAUUGUCCGUCAUUUUCUAAGACGAUUUAGAAUAUUCCAGUGUGUGUGACAGCCCAAGGUCAUGUUAACGUUAAAUUGUUGUUUACCAGGUUCAUAUUUCUAUAUUGUUUAGUUGUUGCAUGAGAAUAGUAUAUUUCAACUGUUGAUACUGUUUCUAUUACAACUGGUUCCAUCCUUUCCACAAACAUUGCACAAUUUUAUGGUGGAGAGAUGAACGUGGGAAAUUAUGAUGACAACCUCACAGAAAGGCUAAAAAAUGUUUCUGAUCUUAGUAAAAAAAUUUACUCAAAUCACAAUUUGGAUUACAUACAGUGUUGUGUAGACAAUUUAAGGAAAAGGUGAUCUCUGAAUUGUGUUAUGCAAUUUUAGGUCAAGGUCAAGGUCAAGUUCAAGUUCAAGGUCAAGGUCACUCCAGUUAAGCUUUGUAGGACCAACAAAGGUGUAUAAACUUGUUUCUUGUCAGCAAAGUUCUGAUUUUAUACCAUAAAGCUGAUAAAGAUUCUACAGGAACCACCAAAACCACUGUAAGAAAGUAAGUAAGUUGAGUUACAUUGCCAAAGUGGUCAAUUCUGUCAUGGCAUGUCUUUCAUUGUCAUUAUGUCGACCCAAGUUCUCUCUCCCCCCUUUGUUAUGUAAGUCAAGUGCCUUUGCCUUGACCAUAUUUGGUGAGGUGUUUUGAGCAGUUUAAGCACUUUUUAUCACCGAGAUGACAGGUAAUCAAUGGCAAAUGGUUGCCCUGGUAACAGGGAACCACUAUUGAACAUAUCAAAUAUGUUGUUGCACAUGUGUUUGUCGUGCAGUCCGUUCACCGGUGUGUUGCUGCCUGCACGCUUUAUCACUGAUUGAUCGCAUGAUGUUGCUGAAAGUCGUAGGUGAUUAUUCCUCGUAUUCCUUCAGACAGCUUUUUUAAUGUUGUGUAAAAGAUAGGUAAAACCUGUUACCAUUUCUCUAUCCAAGAGAUCCGAGCACUGUUACCAUGGUUACAGAUGAAAUAGUAAUAACCAAAAUAUUUCUUUCAUUAUUCCCAUGUCUAUGUGUUGUCAUGACGAUAUUGUGCUCAGUUGACUUCUUUUGUUGACUGUGUAUAGUGUAGAAUUUUACAUUUUGACUUUUAAUGAGAUAGUGUUUCAUACAGGACACAGGUACGACGUAAUGUGUUUUUUUAAUUUAAGAAGGAUUUUUCCAAUCUGUAAAUUCUGAACUGUUUAUUUAUCAUAUUAUUAGCUAGAAAUGAUAUGUGAUUCUAGACGACGUAAUCCGCCAAGUGUGAAUGUUCAACCUGAUAUGUUAUAAUGCUGAAUUGACAUUUUUUUUUAAAUCUGGGUUUUUCAUUUUUCUGCAUUCAUUGCCUUAAUACUCAUUUGUGAUUUAAAGAUUUGUGAUUCAAAGUCAUUAAAUAAUUCUGUCUUUGAAUACACAAGUGAUUCAAGUGGUACCAGGAUCAAUUUUUUAGGAGAAUGGAGAAAAUGACUCAAGGCAUAUUUUGAGAUUAUUUUGUCCUAAGUGCUUAAUUAACGGAUGAACAAUUUCAUAAUUAAUCAAACCCAGAUUGUAAGUGUUUUUUUAGAGUAUUAUGUCUCCAGCAUUAAUAUUUUAUCGAUACAAGCAUUUGUAAGCUUCCUUUUGUUCUGUGGCUAUAGAAUUAUUUUUACAAGUGAAAAGUUAGAGCUUUUAGAAGGAAAGCUAGCUCAAGCAGCAUUAGCACAAUCAAGGGGGAGGUAAGUGUGUGAUACUUGUCUCAUUACCUCCCUUUGGUGAAUUGUAAGAUGGCAGUCAUUAACUGGAAGAAAAGUUUGCAAUGUUUAUGUAAAAUUAAAACUGAUGUCUUAAGGAAACAUUAAUUAAAUGUUAAAGUUUGUCAGGGUAAAAACGUGUUACAGUCAGGCUCAAAGGUUAAUGUUUUAUCAAAAGAAAAUGCUUGCGAAAUUCAGUUCAGGUUCUUCUUCAGUUAUUUUCCAUUCCAAAUGGAUGAGAUACUGAUUGUGUUUAUCGUAUACCUAAUAACCUUACUGUCAUGAUGUAUCAUCACUGUCAGGGGGAUUAGAUGUCUUUGCAAAGGUAAGACAAUAAUGUGCUAUGCAGAGUUGCUUCCCUUUGGAAUGACUGAAACCCAGAAUCAUGGGUUCAAAUCCCAGUUUGGACUCAAAAGUGGUAUUGUCUGAAUCCUGCAUACAUCAGACUUUGCUCGCAGGUUUAGAUGAUACACUGAACUACAUUUAUGAUGAACUGAUGGAUAUAAGAAACUGGCUGUAUUUGGGGUGUUUCGGGUUCGUUUAAUUUUUUGUCCUAGCCACUUGAGUCGAAAUGCCUAUAAUAGACAAUGGUUAUAAGGAACUAAAGAUAGUGACUCCUUUGAGAUCUUUAUAGCUGUAGUUCACCAUCACCCAAAUAUAGAUCAGAUGUUGUUUACCCUGACUCACUAGCUCAGUUCUUAUCAUAACCCAGCUACAAAAAUUUACUUGAUUUGAAAACAUGUUUUCCAAGUUAUUGAAACUUCUAUUGAGCAAGUUUUGAUGACCGUACAGUAUGCCAUCAUUUGUAAGAAACAAAAUGGUGGUUUUUAGAAAAGCCUAUCUCAAAGUGUGAGUUACUCCUGAGCUUUAGCUUCCAGAUAUUGAUCUAGUUUCUCCUGUCUCCAUGUUGAUGAUACAGUCAAACGCCAUUGUGUCGUAUUUACGGUUGUCUUUACGUAAAAGCGUUGUCACUGAGUAUCCAUAAUAAGCAGAGAUGCCAACCCUUACGAUUUUAUCGUAUUCGAUAAAAUACACAACACAACACAAAAUACGCGACUAUGAUAGCAGUAAAAAUAUACAAAUUUUUAAAAAUAAUACAUUAAAUUAAAUUAUCAAAUAGCAUACGUACAUUUCAACCACAUUUUAUUCAGUGUCAAGCUAUAUAUGGAUACUUACUACUGAUUUAGGUGAGUGCAAUGUCAAUAACAAGGUCUUAGACUAUAUAUUUACAUUUUUUAUUUAAUAUGAAAAUUCUUUGGAAAAGUGCAUACUAAUUUUGGCCCCAAAAUACUAAUUUUUGCAUCAGGUUUUGGCCAAAAUACUAAUUGGGCUAAAUUAGGGUUGGCAUCUCUGAAUUAGUCAUCCUUUUGAUGUGUUGAACCUCGGAUAACUGGAAGUAUUUUCGUAGGUUCCUUCAACUUCGACGCAAUGGUGUUUAACUGUAAAAUAAUGACUGACACAGUGUUCAACUCAUUUCAUGUUGUGAUAUUUCUGGCAAUAAUUAAAAUGAUUUAAUAUCCUCUUACAUUCUGAUGAGGAAAAAGAAUUGAUUCAUAUCCAAAAAGUAGACAUUAUAUGGAGCAGACCUUCACACUGGAUUCACAUUAAUACUGAUUAAAAGGAUUCUCUUUUGUAUAUUCCUUUGAAAGACCAUAAGAUAAUGGCCUAUUUGUGUCCACUUGAAAAGCCAAAUUUAUGAAAUGAUGACAAGCUUUUUUAAUGUUAGAAAUGUGAUCAUUCAUGUUCAUUUGACUGCAGAAUAACUAGAAUUUUGUCAGUUCUCAGAAAACAGUAAGAACAUUUGUUGGGAAAAUUGCUCCUUAUUUCAUCUUCUUCAGAUGCUCGAAAUAUUUCCUUCUUUCUUCCAUAUGUGGUUGGUGGGGUAGCCUAGAGGUUAAAGCAUUUGCUCAUCACACGAAGACCAGGGUUUGAUUCCCCACAUGGGUACAAUGUGUGAAGCCCAUUUCUAGUAUUCCAGUCACGAUAUUGCUGGAAUAUUGCUAAAAGUGGCGUAAUAUCAUACUGACUCACUCGUUCAUUUCUGUGACAUCUCAGUUACAAAAAUGCUGCAAGUCCAAAACAUACAAGGGUUAUAAGGAAAAAGGAGGCUGAAUUUGUUUACCGUUGACAAUUUUGUUAGUAUUAGAAUUUGAAAUUUGCCUUUUCAUGUGGUCCAAAAUGGUCAUUAGAAUGCCUUGUCAUUAAUGUAUGCAUUAAUUUCAUAAAUAAGUUGAAGUCAGUUUAGAAUGUGUGAAAUUUGUUUUGUCCUGUUCCAAGAAGCAAUCUUAGAGCUAUGACAGUCGUAACUCUCAUACUUUAGUAUGGACUUACCGCCAUCUUAGCACUACCAUAGCUAUGUGGAACAAACCCAUGUCCCUAGACACUCUGUUUGCCUGCCUGCAGACUGUCUGGCAUGAAAUGGCUGUCGAAAAGUAUUUAGCAACAGUAUUCCCCAAAGAAAAGCUCAAACUCCUGUUUCAAGACAAAUCAGCUAAAUUGUUGAAUUGAAAGUGGCAGUUUUGUAUGCCAGCACAGCCUAGAACUGAUUGUCUUAGAAUGUUUUUCAGACUUAAAAAUCACUUGAAAUUUAAGUGUUAUGUUUGAUGUAUUUUGUGUAUAGAUAUUUUUUUUAUAGUAACAUUUUCUUUAAGUGUUCAAAUUUAAGAGUCACCUGCCCAAGUGUACUGAUUGUGACAGAAAAAAUGUUCUGAGAGACAUUUGUGAUUUUUAAAUGUUUUUCUAAGUCCUCCAUGUCUUGGUUUUAAUGAACUUUCAGUUUUAUAAACUGGAAUAUCCAUGCUUGCUGAACAUGGUAAUGAUUUAGAAAAGUACACAAGGGUGUUUUGAGAAUGCGUUAUGACCUACCAUGCAGUCGUUCUAGAUUGCACAUCUGAGACCUGAGGUGCGCCGGGGUCGCCUGGUGGUGAAAACGUUCGCUUGUCACACUGAAGAUCCGGGUUCAAUUACCCAAUGGGUACAAAGUAUGAAGCCCAUUUCUGGUGAUCCCUGCUGUGAUAUUGCUGGAAUAAUGCUAAAAGCAGCGUAAAACUAAACUCACUUACUCCGAGACAUCUGUCACUUCGGGUUUUCCUCAUCCAUUAAGUUGACAUGCUGUUACACAACUGAAAUACUGUUACAGCUGACCUCGAGUCAACUCACUCACUCACUCACUCACUCAAAGGUUGUAAUGUCCGACUGGAAGAACUUCACUCCUGUUUGAAGGAUGUUCCUUUCAUUAUGGCGUUCUGCUGCAGUCUGUACAACCUUGGCAGCUUUAGUGAGCUGUGUAGGAGAUGUCCCUCCAGUGUAAUGUGUGUCUCCACCAGUGUGGCCUAAGUCAGUUGUAUGGGAGGUGCCCCUAUAGUAUUGCCUGUGAGCUGUAUGGUAGGUGCC